GUCUACGGCCAUGCCACCCUGAACAAGCCCAAUGUCUGAUCUCGGAAGCUAAACAGGGUCAGGCCUGGUUAGUACUUGGAUGGGAGACCACCUAGGAAGACUAGGUGCUAUAGGCA
RNAcentral lists this ribosomal RNA (116 nucleotides) under Pteropus alecto (black flying fox). Lineage: Eukaryota; Metazoa; Chordata; Mammalia; Chiroptera; Pteropodidae. The record is from RNAcentral.